GAAGGCAUAAGUGAGGGAAGUCCAGGUUUCACCGUCGAACCUUAUGUUCGGCCGCCGAACAUGGCAUGCAUGCGGAGGCACGCUAGGCCCCCGAAAGUGGCCUGGCCAGCCACCUAUAAAGGGGUCCCCAUGUUCGAACGGGCAAGCUUUUCUCCCCAUUUUCGGCCAAGGUGAGUCUCCGCCUCCCUCACGCCGAUCUUGAGUUCUUUCUUCAAAUCUUUCAUGAUUUUUAUGAGUUUUCACCUUUAUUUUGAAGAUAUUUGAACAAAAGAGCAAGUUUUGGAACUUGGAGACCCAAGGAGCGAGAUCUUUCCCAUCUCCGAGUUAGAUCGUCUCUCCUCUCGAUCUUCAAGAGGUAAGAGUAGAUCCAUACUUCUUUUUAUGUUUUAAACGAGUUUUAUGAAGUUUGAUGAGGUAGAAAUGCAUAUUUAGGUUUGUAUUGAGUUUAUGGGUCUAUGUUAUGUUUUAUGAGCAAUGUGGGUAGUAUGUGUAUGUUUGAUGUGUUUUGGUUGAGGUUUAAGUUAGUUUGAGACCCCUAUAUGCUUGUUAGCUUGAGUUUGCAUGUUGUAGAAUAGGUAAAUGCAUGUGUGAAUGGUUUGAGAGGUAUUUGUGCAUGAAAGAGGCUGAAUUCUGCCCUUGGUAAGAACUCAGGUUCGGCAGCCGAAGGCUCUUUCGGUCGCUGAACCUGCCUGUGGAGGCCAACUUUUGGCUGCUGAACCCUGCCCCCGAAAGUGGACUUUCGGCUCUGGAAGGGAGUUUCGGCCGCCGAAGGUACCGCCGAACAUGCAUGAGUUUUGUCUCUGGAGGGAACCUUCGGCCACCGAAAGUGCCGCUGAAGGUGCAUGACUUUCGGCUCUGGAGGGACUUUCGGCCGCCGAACCUGCCGCCGAAAGUGCCCUGUUCAGCCUUCUUUUGCAUGAUUUAUGUGAUUGUUUCAUGGUGUUUUAGGGGGUUUUUGGGGAGUAUUUUAGAGUCAUGUUCAUGUAUGUUUGGUCCCUCAUUUGAGUCCACCUGUGUAGGUUCGGACCCGAGGAAUCGAGGACCCCAGUAGUGAGUCAGCUGCUUCAGAGUCUUGUCAGAGCUAGCCUAAGGUGAGUGGAAUAACUCUUUAUGCUUUAAAGUAAAUAAAUCAGUUCUUAGCAUGAUUCACGCAUCAUGAAUGCCAUGAGAUAUAUUAGGGUGCUUGCAUUAGAAUUCACGAGUAUGUUGCAUUGCAUAAUAUGAUGAUGAUGUGGAUGGGUGUUGGAUGAUCCUUUAGUCCUCGUAUGAUAUGAUGUGAUAUGAUAUGGUAUGGUAUGGAAGUCCAGGUCGAGGCCCAUUCUACGCCCCUGGCACUAUAGGAAUGUUAUGUUAUGUAUGUUAUGCUAAGAGAAAGACCAGGUCGAGGCCCAUUCUACGCUCCUGGCACUAUUGGGUAUGUUGAGGACUAUUGGUGACAAAACUAUCCUUGAUGUGACUUGUCUGUGAUGUGAUGCAUUUCAUUAUAGCAUAUGAUUUAAAUGUUUUAUUAUUCUGCUCAAUGGGCUCUAGUAGCUCACCCCACUCCCUUAACCCCGGGUUUGCAAGUACGGGUUAGACCAGGAGGUCAAGAAGAGUAAAGUCAUGGUCAUGUAAUAGCUAGUGGUGGACAUAAUAAGUAUUGAAAUGUAAUGAAUAGUAUUAAUUAGUUAUGUAAUGUAAUGAUGUUAUUGAGGAUUAUAGUUGUGCUUGACCCUAGUUGGAUGUUAAUCCCUUUGUUUACAUGAUCUUUCAAAUGUAAUGGUUUAAUGAUGUUUUAAGUAAGCCAAACUCACUAUAUGUUAUGUUACCCCAUUGGAGCUUUGUUGAGGACUCCAGUGUGGGGUUGAUGAUUAUGUAUAUGAAUAGUGCAUGCACAGGUUGAGUUUAGUGAUUGAAUGAAAAGAAAAGUUCAAAAUUUUUAUGUAUGUGUUGAUCAUGUAUGGGAUUAAACAGGUUUACAGGAUGAAUGUUUGGCUUGCUACGGGUCCCGGCGGUCUUAAGCCUAUCUGGAUCCUAGCGCCGGUAGCGGUCCGGAUUUCCGGGUCUUUACACUUCGUUCCUCGGGAGACUAGAUAUCUUUUUUGGUCUCCCUCAUAUCUUUACUUUUCGACUUUUAGUCUUGCUUUUAGCUCGUUCUUUUGUCCUCUUCCUGUCCUUUCCGGUACCCUUGAGCAGCCUACAUCAGCUUCCAGUCGAUGCCCUUCGGAGCAUCGUCUGAUGACUCCUCUUUCUCGAACUUGUCUUUCCUUUUGGACCGCAUUUGCACUGCCCCCUAUCAGAGUCCCUGAGGUAUCAACGGAGGCUUCCUCCCUUCCCCUAGGAGCCACGUGUGAUGCCUUCUCCCGAGUUUUGCAUUGCUCGAAAAAUAACCUGUAACAUUCUGACGUACUGGAGUAUUUGCUCAAUGCUCAUAUUGUUGGAAUCUGCUUCAUUGUUCAUAGAGGGUGUAUUUUGUCCACAGCCAGAGUAGAAGAAAUGAUAACAUUCUCACUAGUAGCAACCUCAGUAGCAGCUUGUGAAUUUUUUGCCAUUUCAAGAGAGCAGAGAGAGAUUUCCUUUUAGGAGAAAAGAGAAUAAGAGACCAGUUUUAAUCCAAAUGAGCAGGAGCGAUUUUCGAUAAUAGAAACAAAUGAUGCAACCAGAAAAUAGAGUUGUGCUGUAAUUGACUAAUCUUGCAAAAAAAAAAAGAUCGUAAGGUGGUGGGUGCUUCCGACAGUCACUCUGAUACUUAAGUCAGUAAAUUGAAGAAUAAAGCAAAUAUAAAACUUGAUAGUAGUUAUAUAAGAGAAUUGCAUAUUUUUAUCUUUGUGAUUAUUUCUCUUUUAUACUGUAAGAAGAUGAAGAUAAAUAUAAAAUUUUCUAAUAAUUCGAUGAUGAUGUGGUCAGCUGCUUGAUAAGGGAUCUCACCAGCUAAUAGGUCAGUGAUCCCGCCAUUAUAGGCUUAAUAGGGAUGUCUAGACUGUACCUAAUAACGGUAAUUUUAUACCGAGACUUGACCUAUCUAGGAGAAGACGAGUCUUAAUAAUGAACCGAGUAUAAAAAUUAUCUAGAUCUUCUUUUCCUCAGGUGACCUUAUUUUAUGGUGACAACUCAUAACUUAUUUUGAGCGAUCUUUAUAUAGCGUCAAUAAUAUAUACUUUUUUCAUUUUUAUUUUUUUAAAGCAAAACUACUGGUUGUAUUAAUUAAAUUUCAUCAAACAAAGAGGGAUAUCAUCCCAAACAGAAAGACGAUCAUGCCUAAUAGAUUCUCUAGUCAAAGUAUGAGCAACUAGAGUGGUAUGACGACGAACCCAUCUAGCAGAAAUAUCAGUUCUAGAGUCUAACAAAGAUUUAUAAUCAUUCAAAAUCAAAUCCAGUUCAGAAAUGUCUAAAUGUGGAGACUGAAGAGCUUGAACCACCUGCAAACAGUCCAUAAGAAUGCAGCCAUUAAAAGGCAAAAAUUCCGUCUCAAAGAGUAAACAGUGACAGAGAACUAAAGUUUCAACAAUUACUGGCGUACCAUUACUUUUCGAGAAAUCAGAAACACCACGUUAAAAUAUACAUUCAGAGUUUUCCACAACAAAACCGUAGCCAAUAAAAUCUUGAGCUUGAAACAAAUCCCCAUCAACUUGACAAAACCAACUGAAAUUGUCCAAACUUGAUACAAAUCCCGACGGAGCAUAAUUACUGAAAUCACGCAGCCACAGGCUUGUCGGUCUCUGGUUCCGACGAACAGGUGCUCUGAGGAAAUCAUCCCAACCAAACUUGAUAUCUUCUUUCUUCAACCUCAACAGCAAGUUACAAAAAGUCUCCACAUGACCCAGUUUUCCAUAUAGAUAACAAAAAAUAGUCAGCUUUUCGUAUUGAAAUUUCACAGUAAACACAAUACCAUCAUUUCCAACAAACUUAUUCCACCGUUUCAAAGUUUGUCGAAUGUCCAAACAAGCUUUAACUCUCAUAGGACCCGACGACAUAGCUUGUAUCUCCUUCCAAACAAGCAGGAAUCGAUUAUUCAACUAAGAGCCCCAUUCAACAAACUUUUUUCAUUUUUCAUUUAACAAUCAUAAUUUCAAGCCCUCUUAAACAUAUGAGAACUCCUUUGCUCUUAUCGCAUGCCACAAAGGCCAAUUGCCAUUUUCAUCUUCAAACCUCAUCACUCUUCAAUCGCUUCCCCCUUACCUUUUGCUCUAUCUCCUCUUGCAAGGUCAAAGCCUCACCCAGCUCACAUAUGAAGACUAUGACUUGAAUAGAAGAGUAUUUUAGUCUCAAUACUAAUUCAUUUAUUUUGAUUCAAUUUGAUUUAAUUAAAUUUAACUAUCAAUUUUAUUUUUUUUAGAAAAAAUACAAUCUUGUCAAAUUCAAAUUUUACCAAUGACGAAUCCAACGCGAAUUUUGAUCCAAACUUGUAUUAUGCUCUUGUCUAAUCAUUGUUUCUCUUUAUUAUUUACUAAUGAAUUUGAUCUAAGUCUCGCUUUAAAACUAAUUGAUGCCAAGGAGACGGCUAUGGAUAUUAAUGACCAUAAAUACACUCAAAAUGGCAUCAUACCAAUUAAAUAUUUUAAUUUUUUUUUAAAUAUCAUGUUGAAGUCUCAAAAUAAACCUAUUUUAACUUUAAAUAUUAUCAUUUGAAGUUUCAAAAUAAACCUAUUAUCAGAAAUAACAAAUCCUAAAGGUCAGUAUUUUAGUUUUUUAAAUUCAGUUUUUUUAAUGGAUGAGCUCAGAAGGUCAAAAGGUCAGUAUUUUAGUUUUUUAAAUUCAGUUUUUUCGGAGGAUGAGCUCAGAAGGUCUAUGAUUAGGAGGGACAGAGCUCUGGUAAAGACUCGUCAUCAUGAGGUUUGAUGUGUCGUCAGUAAUGAGGAAACUUUCUUCGAGUUUUCUCAUUGACCACACCUUCUUGGGGUGCAAAUCUUUAACAGUUGGCCUCCAUAAAUUUUCUGCUUUUCCACCCAUUUUCCGCGAUGCUGAUUAGGAGGAGAUCUCCAAUUUCCGAUUAAUAAGAAAAAUCAGUUGCAUAUAAAUGAAAAUUUAUAUGGAGCUUAAGUUUUUUAAAUAAUAUAUUAUUAAUUAUAGAAAAAUUUAAUAAAUUAAAUUUAAAUUAACUCAAACCAAACAUCUUCUAAAAUAUCUAAUUUAAUAUUUUAAAUAUUAAAGUGAAAAAAUAUAAAACAACAUCAUAAAUUAAAAAAUCAUAUAAAAAGUCUGAAUAAAUAGACCAUGAAGUGGAAGCGGGCUUCGCAACUAACAAUGAGCAAAAAAAUUAGCAUGACGUUUAAAAUUGGGUUUAAUCCGACCUUUGUUGAAGGAGAAAUCUGCAAUCAUAGAAUGAUUAGGAAAAGUAGUAUAGGGCUUGAAUUUAAUUUACGUUUAUGAAUUGCCGUGUAAUGUAAUAUAAUAAAAUUCAUUAAAAUUGUCUCUAAAGUUAAGAGGUAUUAAGUUUAAAACUCAAUUAUAGUCAAUUAUACUAAAAAAAAAAAGGAUUACAUUGCAUUAUGACAUUAAGGAGCUCAUAAUAUAUAAAUAAAAGAGUUUGUUAAGAUUGUGACACAUGUCAAUACGAUUUGGAAGGGUUUUUUGAAUCUUUUUAUCUGCUUUGAUCGAACAGUAGGAAACCCGACCUAUGAGAUAUUAGGAAUAGACCAUCGAUACCCCUAACCCUACCAAAACCCGAAAUGAAAAGGUAAAUCUUUUUAAAGAUGGCACCAUAAUGGGGUAUUAAAUGCGCUUGGGAUGAACAAUGUCAAUCUAAUGUGUCUAACAGUUAAAGCAUGGGCUAGCCGGCUCCGCUUUUAUUAGCCAACUGCCCGCCAUUAAAUUGUGCCGCCUGACAAAUCUGCUGAAAAAUCCUCUAGUCAUAUUCGAUGGAACGUGUCAUAGGAGAUGUUAGUAUGACCGGGGGUAUAUAUACAUCUGACAUAACUCGAAUUUGGGACAUUUCAUAACUCAUGACUCCACCAUCUUUGUUCUUGUAGGACUGAUGCUCGUAUUUUUUAAAAGAGCUCAGAGCUUCUGGGCAAAAAAAGAGAGAGAAAAUAAAUGACCUAUAGAUGGUCUAGAUUAGACCUAUAACGAGGUGUGACGACCUGUUGACGGGGUGUUUUGUUGAAGGGAAGACCUGCCUGAAGGAAGGGUUGACCUGCCUGAUGAAAGCAGGGAUAAGCAAGGCAGGCCUAAUGAGAGAAGGGCUGAAGUACCUAGGAUGAUCGUAGGGCUGGGGGAGCCUGGACGCUCGUCAAGGCAGGCCAGGUGUCCAAAAAAGCUUGGAUACUCAAAAGCUUACAAGGCAAGAGGAAAAGCCUAGAGGCUUGAAGAUUCGUUAAGCCUUGAGAACUCGGAAGCUCGAAAGGCUGGAGGGUGAGGGUAGCCCGGAAGCCUGAAGACUCGCCAGAGCAAGACUAGUCCGGAUGCGGAAGUUUCGAAUGCUUGGAAGCUCAAAAUGCAUGGAUUCCUCAAAGUGCUCGGAAGGUCUGACUGUUAGUGUAUUUGUCUUAGGCCACUAUCUUGUACCUUUUUGUAUGUCAUUUUAUUUAUUAAUAAAAGAGGUUUUAUUAUCAUUAUUAUUUGUUUGCAUGUUACAUAAUAAUGAUUAAUAUCCCUGGUUACUUAUUAUUAUAAUAAUAUGACUAGUAUGAUUAUUGAUUGAUAAUCAUGAGAUGAUUAUGUGUAUAUUGAUAUAAAUCAAUAAUCAUAGAUAUUUGUUAGACAACAAAGUAUUGGAUGGACCCACAUUGAGAUCACUACAUGGGUUAUUGUCAUAAGUGAAUCUCAAGAUAGUUAUGUUUUAUUCCUUUAACUUGAAAUUGUCAUAAUUUCCAACAUAAGGGCUGUUAUGUUUUGAUAUAACCAAACAUUAUUUUUAAUCGGAUAAUCAUAAAGAUUAUGAUUGAGCAUAAUAUAAAUUAUGUAGAGGAUAUUGAACAAUCAAUAUAGAAUUUAUCCCUCUCUUUGAGAGAGAUAUCUUCUGGACCCCUCGAUAAGUGAGACUGAGAAAUGUAUGACCGUACUCAAAUGAAUUGAUAAAUAUCAUUUGGUUUUAUCAGUUUACUUAGAGAUUGAGAAAUCAUAAGUUUGAACAUUAUAAGUUUGACAUUGACCAUGACUUAUAUUCAAACUAGAUAUCGUGUGACAAAUGAAUUAAUAAAUAUUCUGUUUAUUAGGUUUUAUCGAACUAUCAAUCCUUAUAUUAAUUGGAUAGUCAUAAUGUCUUGUUAGAGGCCGCUUAUGAUUUAUGAGUCUUGUUGGACUGGACCUAUUGCUAAUUAAUUAUUUAUUAUUAUUAUAAGAUAAUAAAUUUAAAAAAUCUACAACCUAUCUGUAACUGUUACAGAUAAAAGAUCUUUUCAUUUUCUUUUGAAAAGGACUUAUCGCAUAGAUAUAUUAGCAUCUGCGAUACUGUGAUGGUUGGAUUGAAUAUAACUCUUUUACGAAAAGAAGUGUGAAAAACGAAAAGACUGAGAGAAAACGAGUGAACAUAAAACACCUUCUUUGAAUUGCAUGAGAGAGGUUUUUUUCGUGAUCGUUUUUCUAGAUUGCAGAUUACGAGCAUAUAGCUAAUCCAUCCGUUGAGAGAGCUAGCACUUUAGAUGAAAACGUUCGCGUGGAUACCAUUGAGGGUGUUCGUUUCAGAAGCAGUACCAUCAGUCCGGAACAAUUUCUUUUUGUCAAGUCUAAAAGGUUAGUCUCUUUAUCCUUCCUUUCGAAUUAAACAAAAUACUCAGAUUUUGAAAUGGAAAACAGAGAUCUUUUAAUUUUCUGCUGCGUAAUUUUGAAUUGCAGUAAUCUCUGUGGUUCCUUACAUUGACAUGCAAAUUCUUUAGAGAAGUCAGAACGUCUGAGAUGAUUAAAAGGAACGACAGUGUUUUAUUUUUCCGCAUUUAUUUAAAAGAGUUGAAGGCUAUUUUAGUCUUUUAUUUUGGGAGCCAAGGUCGUUGAAUAUGCUAUUUAAGGAGCAAACGUCCCUCUAUUUUGGGUGUGAAAAAGUGCAUGAAGCAAAAAAAUAUUGUGAUUGUUGUUUUUUCUAUUGAUUUGUAAUCGAGCUUGUACUUGUGUGUGAUUAUUCUCAUCAUGAAUAAAAGAAUUCCCUCUUUCGAGAUGUAGGAUGAUCCACAAAGGUGGAUCCGAGCUCAUAAAACUCUCUGUGUUUUUCUUCUUUUGUGUUUCUUCUUUCUUUUCUUUAUUUUCUUAUUUUAUGUUACGUCGCUCACCAAAGAUCGGAGUUUAAGCCUCCAGCAACAACAAGUAGUAUCAGAGCACGGUUUGUGAGCAGGGAGGUUCAUUGCAGGUUAGUUUUCUUAAAGUCUGGUGACUGCGUGGUUGUCGAAACUGGUAAAAAAUAACCUUUUUGAUUAUCCACAAUUUUACAACUGUAGAUAGUGGUAAAAUGAUCGAAUCCACGGGAAAAUGAUACUUAUCUUCCUAUCAAUGACCAAGUAAAUAAAUAGACAAUAAAAGUAAAUUGGGAGGUUUUGAAGUUUGAUGACUAAACUAGAUUUAAAAGUAAUAAAGUAAAGCAAAUAAGAAAGUAAAGAGAAUUCAAUAAUGAGAAAAGCCUAGUUGAAGAAUUUGGAUCCACUUCAGUUGUUGGGAUUAAUCAUUGACACUUAUAGUUUUUUAUUUGACUCAAUAAAUUAGUUAUGGAGGUGGAAGACGCUUCUCACACCCAUAUCCCUCUUUAAGUAUAGAUUAAAUAGGAACUGUUCUCUAAUUAAUCACUAAUCAACAAGUUGCCAAAGAACGUCCUUGGGGCUUUUAACAUUAUACAACUGGCAAUUGCAUUAAGAAAUAGAGAGACCUAAUUCUAGCUACCCAAACGUAUGCUGAUAUUGCUAGAUUAUGCAAUCUCCUUGAUUUUUACACCAAGAGUUACUUGUGUUUGAAUAAUUCAAGCAAUUACGGACUUCAAACUAUCCAAACUAACGAAUUAUCACUUUGCAAUCAAGAAUCAAUGGGCCCUAUUGAUCUAAAUAACAAAGCAAUAAUAGAAUUAAGCAUGAAAUUGCAUAAAUAUUGAUAAAUAAAAGAUAAAUAUCAUGUGUUCAGAUCUCACAAUCCAUAAACAAACUGAAGUUUCACCUAAUCUUCAACUAGAAAAAGGGGUUUCAGCCAUUCAUGGAUGAAACUAACAAAAAUAAAAGAAAGAAGACAAAAAGAAGAAGAGGAAGGGCCGGCUGGUGUGGCGCGCAGCUGCUGGUGUAGUUUCUGUCGAAGAUAGAUCCCCCGUUUUGCUGGUUUGCUGUCCUCUAUUUAUAAUUGAUUUGAGUAGCCCUAAGUUUCCUUGUUUGGAUUGGAUUUCUUUACCCAAUUGGAGUUGGAUUCUUUGAAGGCAAUUGGAUCUUCUUGAGAUUUGGCUUCCUAAAUAUGUGGGAUAGGGUGCUGAGGUGUCUUGAAGAUUUGCUGAGUUGUAUUCAUGUGGUUGGAGAGGAAAAGUCUUUUUAAAGAUUUAAAAUUUGAAUUUCUCGCGAUUCUGCUGUCUGCUGUUGCAAACUCUAUUUUCCCGGGUUGUUUGGGCAAACAACCCGGUCAAACAGUUUGUCUUAGUGCUGUCUGUCACUCUGCCUUUGUUCUACGAGUCUGUUUGCCCAGUUUAUUUGGGAAAACAGUCUGGUCAAACAAUAAAUCAUCCUUCUCCCAUUUCAGCUGCAACUUGGUUUGGGCAAACUAGGCUUGAUUUCUUUUAUUCUCUUUUGGGCGAUUUUAAGGCCUUUUUAUCAAAUUACCCUUUUACACCAUUUCCUGCAAAAUAAGAUCAAAACCACAAAAUUAGGUAGAAAAUAUGUAAAUCAAUAUUGAUAACAACAUGAAAAAUGGGUCUAAAUUUGGUUUGAUCAUCUGGUCAGGAAAGGAAUGACGUUGGCGAUGCAGAAACUUGAUGUUGAGAAGUUUGAUGGGAGAGGAGAUUUCAUGCUUUGGAAGGAAAAGAUCGAGAUCAUGGGGCUGCAAGAUGCUCUUAAUAAUGAUCCAGAAACAUGAAAUCUUGAGGAAGAGAAUGAAUCAAAGAAAGUAAGAACUCCAGUCCUGAAAAGAAUUCUUUCUUUAACUCCUGAAACCACAAAAUCUUCUAGGGCUGCUUCAAUCAUCACCUCAGAUCAAGAAGUAAGAUCCAAAGAGAAAGAGAUUAAGGAGCUGGUCCAAUGGUUAAGAAGAGAGAGAAGUAAGAAGGUCAGGAACUUGAUAGUUCUGUCUCUCGGAUCAAAUUCUCAGAAAGGUGAUCCAUGAGAAGAUUGCUUUUGGGAUCUGAAGACUUUUGGAGAAACUCUACCUAGAACAAUCUUUACCUAACAAAAUGUACCUGAUGCAGAGGGUUUCAGGCUUCAAGAUGGACGAGGGCAAGACCAUUAAGGAGAACUUGGACAUUUUCUAGAAGAUGUUGUCCGACUUGCAGAAUCUUCAGGUUAAGGUGGAGGAGGAAUUCCAAGCAGUGUAUCUGUUGAAUUCUUUGCCUCCCCUUUACGAAUAGUUGAGGGAGGUUUUGAAGUAUUCAAGAACCAGUAUCACAGUUAAAGUGAUGAAGGCUGCAACAAGGUCCAAAGAAGCAUAACUCAAUGCUUAAAAGGGUACUAGAAAUCAGGGUGAAGGUCUGGUAGUAAGGGGAAGAUUUGAGUACAGAGACAACAAGGGCAAGAACAAAUCGAGGGCAAGAACAAAUCGAGGGCAAGAUUGAAGUUCAAAAGCAAAGCAGAAUGUUGGUAUUAUGGCAAGAAUGGUCAUCUUAAGAAGGACUGCUACUCUAGGAAAAACAAUAAGAAGGUUUCUCAUAAUGAGAAGGGAGAAGCGGCAAUUGCAAAUAGCAAUAUGCAAUAUUUUGAAGUUUCGGCUGCAGAAACUUUAGAGGUAUUUUCCAUCAAUGAGUUGGAGAUUAAAGAAUAGUGGAUUUUGGAUUAAGGCUGCACAUUUCAUAUGACCACAAGAAAUGAAUGGUUUGCCACAUUUGAAGAAAAAGAUGGAGGCAGAGUCAAGAUGGGAAAUAAUACAACCUACCAUGUCAAAGGAUUCAGAAUAGUGCAAAUCAUGAUGCAUAAUGGCUCGACUGUGAUGUUAACUCAAGUGAGGUACAUUCCUAAACUCAAAAGAAAUCUUAUUUCUCUUGGAGCACUUGAAUUGCAGGAUUGCUAGUACAAGGCUCAUAAAGGUGCAAUGAAGAUUGUCAAAGGAUGCAGAGUCAUCAUGAAAGGAGAGCUAAUAGAAGGUUUAUACGUUUUGCAAGGUAAAACGGUCUUUGGUGAAGCAAAUCCAUUUGAGGCUACUCAGGAUCAAACUUGUCUUUGGCACAAUAGGCUUGGACACAUGAGUCAGAAGGGAAUGGAGACUCUGGUCAAAAAGGUUAUGUAUCAAGGUACUAAUCUAUCAUCUCUAAGUUUCUGUGAGAGUUGUGUCUUUGGUAAAUCUCACAGGUUUUCCUUUGAGAUCGGAAAGCAUACAACAAAAGGAAUUCUUGACUACCUUCACUCAGACCUAUGGAGAUCACCAAACAUUCCUUUCUUUCUGUCAAAGUGUCAGUAUUUCAUCUCCUUUAUUGAUGAUUACUCGAGAAAGAUUUGGAUUCUAUUUCUGAAAUCAAAGGAUGAAGCCUUUGAGAAGUUUGCGGAAUGGAAAUACUUAGUGGAGAAUCAGACAGGAAAGAAAAUCAAGACAUUGAGGAUAGAAAAUGGUCUUGAAUUCUAUAAUCAAAAGUUUGAUUCAUUUUGCAGGAAGCAGGGAAUCCGAAGGCACAAGACAUGUGCUUAUACAUCACAAUAGAAUGGUGUUGCAGAAAGGAUGAAUAGGACAAUAAUGGAAAAGGUCAGAAGCUUGCUUAGUGAGUCAGGUUUAUCUCAAAAUUUCUAGGCUAAAGCUGCAUCUACUUAUGUAUACCUGAUCAAUAAGUCCCCAUCUACUGCUAUAGAGUUAAAUGUUCCAGAACAGAUGUGAUCAGGGGCUGAGCCUUCCUAUUCACACUUGAGAAUGUUUGGUUGUGUGGCUUACAUCCAUACAAAUCAGGGUAAACUAUUGCCAAGAGUAAGAAAGGGGAUAUUCAUUGGAUAUCCUCAAGGGAUCAAAGGUUAUAGGAUUUGGCUACUGGAGGAGAAGAAGUGUAUCAUUAGCAGAGAUGUUAGGUUCAAUGAAGAACAAGUGUUCAAGGACCUGUAGGAAGAGAAAGAGGAAGAGGUUACAAGCAAAUCAUAGGUAAGGAGACUAUUACUCUUCAUGUUCCUACAUUACAGAUCAAGAACAAUGAAAAGACGAAAGAUUAAGGUGGAGUUCCUCAGAGAAUAAUUGAGAGUUCAUUAGGAUCUAAAAAGAAGGACAUCUCUUAAAAUGAUGAAUCUGAGAAUAUUGAAGAUGCAGAACAGGGACAAAGGCCGAAGGAAGAGGUGGAUUCCGAGUAAGAAGAUCUUAGUGAUUAUAUACUUGCAAAGGAUAGAGGUAGAAGAGAAAUUAAACCCCCUUCAAGAUAUAAUGAGGCUAAGACUGUGACUUUUGCCUUCACAUUUGCAGAAGAGGUUGAAAUUGAAGAACCAGAGUUAAAUCAAGAAGUCAUGGCCAUAUUUAUAGGCGGGGCAAGGUGUUGGAGUUUGGCGAAUGAGCUGGUCUGUUAAGAUUGGAUUGGCCGGGAUGGCCAAGCCAAGUGGGAUGAGUCGCGGAGUAGGAGAAAGUUGUAGGCGGAACGAGCUAAUGGUGAGAUGAGCUGCUGAGGGGACGAGCAUCAUAUGGAUGCAAGGUUGAGGCAAGCCCAGGAGCUCGAGGAGGCUAGAGAAGUGUCGGGAGCUCGGAGGGGACAGGAGUGCCUAGAAGCUUGGGAAGGGCUAGUGAGCUAGGGAUGCUCGCAAGACAGGCAGAGUUACAUAGAAGCUCGAUGUACGUGGAAGCUCAAGAUGCUGAAGACUUACCUAGGGCUAGUAAAGCCCAGAAGCCAUGCCAAGCAAGAACAGAAAGGAGCAAGGGGUGAAGCGCGCCCAAUGUAAAGAUCACUUCGAAACACGAGGCAGAUAUGUGUAGUGUACUGCUUCUCCGUGAAUAUUCUAGAUGGAUUUUGGCUUUUUGGAGCCUUCUUGAAGUGUCACACACAGAGGCAGUAACCUAAGGUAUUUUUGGGGUAAUUGGAACAGGGCUGGAUUUGGCUUAUCCAUUUAGAGUUAUCAGCAGGGUCACCAUAAAGAGAUCACUGGAAUGCUAUGAAAUGGGUACUCAGGUAUAUCAGAGGAACUCAAAAGCUGAAACUCAAUUAUGUUAGGGAAUCAGGUCUGAAGGUCAGAGGUUUUUGUGAUUCUGAUUAUGCAGCCGAUUUAGAUAAGAGAAGGUCGGUGUCAAGGUAUAUAUUCACUAUUGGAGGAAAUGUUGUAAGCUGAAAGUCAGGUCUGCAGUAUGUCGUAGCUCUUUGACCAUAGAGGCCAAGUGUACGGCAUUAACAAAAGCCAUUAAAGAGAGAAUUUGGUUAAAAGGCCUGAUGGAGGAGCUCAGAUUCAAAUAAGAGACAGUGGAGGUAUUUUGUGAUUCUCAGAGUGCCAUCAGUUUGUCAAAAAACAAUAUGCAUCAUGAAAGAACCAAACACAUAGAUGUUAGAUUGCAUUUCGUUAGAGAUUUGAUAUCUAAAGGUAUUGUUAAGGUUUUGAAAAUCUACACAGAAGAAAAUCCUGCAGAUGCACACCAAGAUUUUACCGGUUAACAAGUUCAAAAGGAAGUUGAGCUUGUUGAGGCUGACCGAAGAAUAAAGAGGGUUAGGUUGAAGAAGGAAUGAGGAUUCACAUGAGUUGAAGAAGUUCAAGUAAGGUGGAGAAUUGUAGGACUGAUGCUCAAAUUCUUCAAAAAAGCUUGAAACUUUUGUGCAAAAAUAAAGAGAGAGAAUAAACGACCUGUAGAUGGUCUGUGUAAUACCCGGCUAGACUCCGGUAUCGGAAUUCCUAUCGUCCGGUGGAAUCUCAGAUGUCAGAAACUUCUAGAAGGGUAAAAUCAUAUUUUAUGAAAUGAUUUAAUGUAUUUUAUGAUUUUAAGUAAAAAAGAAAAUUGAGUUUUAAUGAAAAUAGCCUUGGAGGAAGAUUCAGGUUCGGCCGCCGAACCUUAUGUUCGGCCGCCGAAUAUAGCAUGCAUGCGGAGGCACGUUAGGCCCCCGAAAGUGGACUGGCCAACCACCUAUAAAGGGGUCCCCAUGUCCGAACGGGCGAGGUUUUCUCCCCAUUUUCGGCCAAAGUGAGUCUCCGCCGCCCUCAUGCCGAUCUUGAGUUCUUCCUUCAAAUCUUUCAUGAUUU
Molecule: long non-coding RNA, 14198 nt
Filed under: Manihot esculenta (cassava)
Lineage: Eukaryota; Viridiplantae; Streptophyta; Magnoliopsida; Malpighiales; Euphorbiaceae
Description: long non-coding RNA (MESC_LNC009862)
Source: RNAcentral